RNAcentral lists this ribosomal RNA (726 nucleotides) under Pleosporales sp. RNAcentral's name for it is "partial large subunit ribosomal RNA". It matches the Rfam family "Eukaryotic large subunit ribosomal RNA", at positions 104 to 848 of the family's 3401-position model. The record is from RNAcentral. Lineage: Eukaryota; Fungi; Ascomycota; Dothideomycetes; Pleosporales.
CAGCUCAAAUUUGAAAUCUGGCCCUUUUAGGGUCCGAGUUGUAAUUUGCAGAGGGUGCUUUGGCGUUAGUAGCGAUCUAAGUUCCUUGGAACAGGACGUCACAGAGGGUGAGAAUCCCGUACGUGGUUGCUCUACUUUCGCCGUGUAAAGCCCCUUCGACGAGUCGAGUUGUUUGGGAAUGCAGCUCUAAAUGGGAGGUAAAUUUCUUCUAAAGCUAAAUACCGGCCAGAGACCGAUAGCGCACAAGUAGAGUGAUCGAAAGAUGAAAAGCACUUUGGAAAGAGAGUCAAAAAGCACGUGAAAUUGUUGAAAGGGAAGCGCUUGCAGCCAGACGUGCCUGUAGUUGCUCAUCCGGGCUUUUGCCCGGUGCACUCUUCUGCAGGCAGGCCAGCAUCAGUUUGGGCGGCUGGAUAAAGACCUCUGUCACGUACCUCCCUCCGGGGAGGCCUUAUAGGGGAGGUGUCAUGCAGCCAGCCCGGACUGAGGUCCGCGCAUCUGCUAGGAUGCUGGCGUAAUGGCUGUAAGCGGCCCGUCUUGAAACACGGACCAAGGAGUCUAACAUCUAUGCGAGUGUUUGGGUGUCAAGCCCGGGCGCGCAAUGAAAGUGAACGGAGGUGGGAACCCUUCGGGGCGCACCAUCGACCGAUCCUGAUGUCUUCGGAUGGAUUUGAGUAAGAGCAUAGCUGUUGGGACCCGAAAGAUGGUGAACUAUGCUUGAAUAGGGUG